GACGAACGCUGGCGGCGUGCCUAAUACAUGCAAGUAGAACGCUGAAGAGAGGAGCUUGCUCUUCUUGGAUGAGUUGCGCACGGGUGAGUAACGCGUAGGUAACCUGCCUGGUAGCGGGGGAUAACUAUUGGAAACGAUAGCUAAUACCGCAUAAAAUUGAUUAUUGCAUGAUAAUUAAUUUAAAGAUGCAACUGCAUCACUACCAGAUGGACCUGCGGUGUAUUAGCUAGUUGGUGAGGUAACGGCUCACCAAGGCGACGGUACAUAGCCUGCCUGACAGGGUGUUCAGCCAAGAUGGGACUGUGACGCGACCCAGACAGAUAGGGGAGGAAGCAGUAAGGAAGCUGCUGCAAUGGGGCGAACAGUGAACAAACAACGCCGCAUGAGAGAGGAAAAUUCGCGGGUCGUAAAGCUCUGUUGUCAGAUAAGAACGGGUGUGAGGGUGGAAAGGUCACACAGUGACGGUAACUGAACAGAAAGUGACGGAUAACUAAGUG
RNAcentral lists this ribosomal RNA (497 nucleotides) under uncultured bacterium. RNAcentral's name for it is "partial 16S ribosomal RNA". It matches the Rfam family "Bacterial small subunit ribosomal RNA", at positions 28 to 507 of the family's 1533-position model. The record is from RNAcentral.